RNAcentral lists this ribosomal RNA (280 nucleotides) under uncultured Peptoniphilus sp. RNAcentral's name for it is "partial 16S ribosomal RNA". It matches the Rfam family "Bacterial small subunit ribosomal RNA", at positions 77 to 355 of the family's 1533-position model. Lineage: Bacteria; Bacillati; Bacillota; Tissierellia; Tissierellales; Peptoniphilaceae. The record is from RNAcentral.
CGAAGAUAAGACGGAUUAGCGGCGGACGGGUGAGUAACACGUGAGUAACCUGCCUUUUACACAGGGAUAGCCUCGGGAAACCGGGAUUAAAACCUGAUGAAACUAUCAAAUCACAUGAUUAAGAAAGUUAAAACUCCGGUGGUAAAAGAUGGACUCGCGUCCCAUUAGCUAGUUGGUGAAGGUAACGGCCCACCAAGGCAACGAUGGGUAGCCGGCCUGAGAGGGUGAACGGCCACAUUGGAACUGAGAAACGGUCCAAACUCCUACGGGAGGCAGCAGU